GGAGGAGUACCCAAGUGGCUGAAGGGACUGGUCUUGAAAACCAGCAGACGUGAGAGCGUGCGGGAGUUCGAAUCUCCCCUCCUCCG
This 86-nucleotide transfer RNA is filed under the name Erysipelothrix rhusiopathiae ATCC 19414. It matches the Rfam family "tRNA". Rfam says of the family: Transfer RNA (tRNA) molecules are approximately 80 nucleotides in length. Their secondary structure includes four short double-helical elements and three loops (D, anti-codon, and T loops). The record is from Rfam by way of RNAcentral. Lineage: Bacteria; Bacillati; Bacillota; Erysipelotrichia; Erysipelotrichales; Erysipelotrichaceae. RNAcentral also lists the same sequence under 2 other names.